Molecule: ribosomal RNA, 279 nt
Filed under: uncultured bacterium
Lineage: Bacteria
Description: partial 16S ribosomal RNA
Rfam family: Bacterial small subunit ribosomal RNA
Source: RNAcentral
UGCCAGCCGCCGCGGUAAUACGGAGGGUGCAAGCGUUGUUCGGAAUUAUUGGGCGUAAAGCGCGUGUAGGCGGUUCGUUAAGUCUGAUGUGAAAGCCCGGGGCUCAACCCCGGAAGUGCAUUGGAAACUGGCGAACUUGAGUACGGGAGAGGAAAGUGGAAUUCCGAGUGUAGGGGUGAAAUCCGUAGAUAUCGGGAGGAAUACCAGUGGCGAAGGCGGCCUUCUGGACGAUGACUGACGCUCAGACGCGAAAGCGUGGGUAGCAAACAGGAUUAGAUA